Non-coding RNA from Aegilops tauschii subsp. strangulata, 1430 nucleotides. Lineage: Eukaryota; Viridiplantae; Streptophyta; Magnoliopsida; Poales; Poaceae. The record is from RefSeq and is a predicted model, not a curated record.
ACGAGACACUACAAUAGUCAUAUUUUUCCUUGCAAUUUUAUUUGAACUUGAUAAAUACAUGACUAUUGUCGUGUCUGAAACCGAGCUCAAAUAAUCCUAAGUGAAUGCAAGCUUUAGUUAGUCUUUGGUUUCCAGUCAUCUUAUAUGUUCUUAUUUCUCAUGUUGUAGUACGACACAUAGAAUAAUUUCAUAAUACCAUAUUUCAGUUACUUCCUAUGUCACCAGAAAAUGCAGUGGAGAAGAAGCCGGUUCACCACAUGAUCAUUUAUUUUGUUAUUGUUUUUUAAUAAUUCUCCGUUGCAUGUAUAAUCACAAAAAAUAAAACACCUCCUUUCAGCAUCCAAAGUUCAGAUCUUGCACAAGCAUCCCUGGGACACAUGCUUCUGUACCUCAAUUAACUUUGUUUUGACUCAAUAACCUCCUCAGAUAAUGUGAAAGUGAAAAGGACGAAGAACAUCAUUUGGCAAUGAGUCGAAAGAAGUGUGCAAAAUGGAAACAGGAAUCACUAACUUAUAGUAGCCAAGUCAUGCAUGCUUGCUUGUUUAUAAUGCCAUGAAAAGUAAGACAUGCUACAUUUUCGCACAUUAGAAAUUCUUAUCUUUUCAAACAUCUUCUUUAGUUAAUUCUUCAACACAAUGAUGUAAGUACCCGUCACUUCUCAUCUUUUGUGAAUGACAUUUGAUUUUCUCACAAUUGUUCUUUGCUAUUUUUUUGGGUACAGAAACGGUCCAUUUUACUUGUAUUAAAGUGACAUUUAUGUGUAAUGAUACUUGCAUCUGUGUGUUUUCGGAGAAUGGAGAAAAAAAUUGGUGAUUGACUGUCCCGACAAGGGGAUUCUAAUUUUGAUUGGCUCUUACUUAAAUAAUAUGAUCUGCAAAGUUCAAAUGGUUGUAUAUUCGACCCAUACUAGGAGUCUAGAAGUGAUACUUUUGUGAGGAGUACUGAAACAUGACUGGGUCAAGCGAGACGGAGAACGAUGGAUGAGUGAAAGAGAUCAGAAAAGGUGAUCCACAACAUAGCUUGCAGCCUCCGAGAGCUCAGGAAGAUGUGGAGAUGAUUAUAGCUUGAAACAUUGUGACUUUUUUCACUUAGUGGUCAUGUAACAUACAGUGGUAACAAUGAAUUCUUGCUCAUUUGGUAAAACUUACAUCUUAACUUGUCAUGAUAAUUAACCAUUGGCUAUUCGAUGAUUAGCACUGUAAUUAGUUAUCUACCUUCCAUGUUGCUCUUAUUAUUGUUGAUCAAGCGAAUUGGUUAUUGCAAGCAGUUCAAGCUGAUUAAAAGUUAAUGUGGCUCGUUGUAAGUAAUGAUGAGGUUGGUUGAGUUGCUUUUCCAUAACUACAUGUAUGUACAUUUCUUGGACUAUUGUGAAUCAAACCACUUUCUACAGUUUCCAAAUGCUGAUGUUAUCUGCACAAACUAACUAUUAA